GAUGAACGCUGGCGGCGUGCCUAAUACAUGCAAGUCGAGCGAACGGACGAGAAGCUUGCUUUUCUGAUGUUAGCGGCGGACGGGUGAGUAACACGUGGAUAACCUACCUAUAAGACUGGGAUAACUUCGGGAAACCGGAGCUAAUACCGGAUAAUAUUUUGAACCGCAUGGUUCAAAAGUGAAAGACGGUCUUGCUGUCACUUAUAGAUGGAUCCGCGCUGCAUUAGCUAGUUGGUAAGGUAACGGCUUACCAAGGCAACGAUGCAUAGCCGACCUGAGAGGGGGAUCGGCCACCCUGGAACUGAGACACGGUCCAGACUCCUACGGGAGGCAGCAGUAGGGAAUCUUCCGCAAUGGGCGAAAGCCUGACGGAGCAACGCCGCGUGAGUGAUGACGGUCUUCGGAUCGUAAAACUCUGUUAUUAGGGAAGAACAUAUGUGUAAGUAACUGUGCACAUCUUGACGGUACCUAAUCAGAAAGCCACGGCUAACUACGUG
This 497-nucleotide ribosomal RNA is filed under the name uncultured bacterium. RNAcentral describes it as "partial 16S ribosomal RNA". It matches the Rfam family "Bacterial small subunit ribosomal RNA", at positions 28 to 507 of the family's 1533-position model. The record is from RNAcentral.